This 253-nucleotide ribosomal RNA is filed under the name uncultured bacterium. RNAcentral's name for it is "partial 16S ribosomal RNA". It matches the Rfam family "Bacterial small subunit ribosomal RNA", at positions 524 to 776 of the family's 1533-position model. The record is from RNAcentral.
UACAGAGGCCUCGAGCGUUAGGCGGAAUCACUGGGCUUAAAGCGUGUGUAGGUGGAUGCCUAAGUACCUUGUGAAAUCCCACGGCUUAACCGUGGAACUGCUGGGUAUACUGGGUGUCUUGAGCCACUCAGGGGCUACUGGAACAAACGGUGGAGCGGUGAAAUGCGUAGAUAUCGUUUGGAACGCCAAUGGUGAAAACAGGUAGCUGGGGGUGUGCUGACACUGAGACACGAAAGCCAGGGGAGCAAACGGG